GGAAUAUUGGGCAAUGGGGGGAACCCUGACCCAGCAACGCCGCGUGAGGGAAGAAGGUUUUCGGAUCGUAAACCUCUGUCCCAGGUGAAGAGAGAGAGACGGUAGCCUGGGAGGAAGCCCCGGCUAACUACGUGCCAGCAGCCGCGGUAAUACGUAGGGGGCGAGCGUUGUCCGGAAUGAUUGGGCGUAAAGGGCGCGUAGGCGGCCCGGUAAGUCUGGAGUGAAAGUCCUGCUUUUAAGGUGGGAAUUGCUUUGGAUACUGUCGGGCUUGAGUGCAGGAGAGGUAAGUGGAAUUCCCAGUGUAGCGGUGAAAUGCGUAGAGAUUGGGAGGAACACCAGUGGCGAAGGCGACUUACUGGACUGUAACUGACGCUGAGGCGCGAAAGUGUGGGGAGCAAACA
This 401-nucleotide ribosomal RNA is filed under the name uncultured bacterium. Its description in RNAcentral is "bacterial SSU rRNA". It matches the Rfam family "Bacterial small subunit ribosomal RNA", at positions 358 to 774 of the family's 1533-position model. The record is from RNAcentral.